GAUGAUGGUGACCUAAACCCUCACCAGAGUAACAAUUGGAGGGCAAGUCUGGUGCCAGCAGCCGCGGUAAUUCCAGCUCCAAUAGCGUAUAUUAAACUUGUUGCAGUUAAAAAGCUCGUAGUUGAAUUUUUGCGUGGUGUUAAUAUUGACUGAUGUCGAGAUUGCACUUCGCUUUUGGGAUUUUUCCCUUUUUACUUUGAGAAAAUUAGAGUGUUUCAAGCAGACUUUUGUCUUGAAUACUUCAGCAUGGAAUAAUAGAGUAGGACUUUGGUUCUAUUUUGUUGGUUUGUGAACCUUAGUAAUGGUUAAUAGGAACGGUUGGGGGCAUUCGUAUUUAACUGUCAGAGGUGAAAUUCUUAGAUUUGUUAAAGACGAACUACUGCGAAAGCAUUUGCCAAGGACGUUUUCAUUAAUCAAGAACGAAAGUUAGGGGAUCGAAGACGAUCAGAUACCGUCGUAGUCU
Molecule: ribosomal RNA, 463 nt
Filed under: Babesia capreoli
Lineage: Eukaryota; Apicomplexa; Aconoidasida; Piroplasmida; Babesiidae
Description: SSU rRNA
Rfam family: Eukaryotic small subunit ribosomal RNA
Source: RNAcentral